GAUAAGUCCUUUCAUCUGAUUGGUUGGUUGGGGUAUGAUUGGCAGACCAAUGAGGUGGUAGCAGCCGUACUAUUUUAGGACCUUUAUUUUGACGGGGGGGAUACGUUCCUGCUGACUUGGGGUUCUCUCUCUCCCUGGCACUUCCUCUUCCGUUCCCAUUCCUAUCCAGUUUAAUUUAGAGUGGGGCUGGUGUCGUUGGCGUUGCGGGAAGUCGUGGCAGAGUUCGCUUGCAGCGACGAGGGCAGGUGGGUGAAUGCUGGCUGGUAGACUGAGUUGCCUCACCGGUAGUGAGUAGCCAUACAGCUGUGCGUCUAGUGUUGGUUCAACAUAACUCGUGAGUAUGCCUCUCCUGUUUUUCACAUUUGGGGUUUUGUAAAUUUAGAUUAAUUCUGGUACUCUGGUUUAAAGGUAAAGGGGAAAGAUCAAGAUUUUCAAGCCCUGUUCCUAGCAAGGACUUCUUGCGACGACGACGCUGCUGUUUUGCUUAUGGAUAUAUUUUGUUUUCUUUAUUUUUUUGAUCGUGUCGUUUACAGUCAGCUGUGCGGUUACGGUUUUGCUGCUCCGCGAGUCGCUGGGGCUGUUAACGCUAGCGUCUGAGCAUUGUGCCGGCAGGUUUUUUUUUUACUAGUUUCAUUUCUUUGAUUUAAUUUUCUUUGUCAACAGAGUCAAUUUUUUGCUAUACUUAUUGGAUUAGUUU
Molecule: long non-coding RNA, 697 nt
Organism: Sinocyclocheilus rhinocerous
Lineage: Eukaryota; Metazoa; Chordata; Actinopteri; Cypriniformes; Cyprinidae
Exons: 3
Source: RefSeq, a predicted model, not a curated record